AGAUAGUUUUCUUUAUGAAAUUGUAGACUGUGAUUUACAACUGUACAUCUUUUCCUCAACUGGAGCUGGUAAGAAAAAAGUUAAAUAUGUGUUACCCAAAGCUUUUCCUACUUAUGGUAUCCAAAUUCUUUGUAUAUCUGCAAUACAGGAAGCACGAGUCAAAGAUUAUGACUUGGACUUAGUCACUGGACAUGUGGAUUAUGAGUUGGACACAUACACACAAGUAUCUUGACAUACACAUAUCACAGAGGAACUUCAGAGGAAGGGGCUCCUAAGAAAUGUCUGGCAACUGAGGGAACAGGAAUACGUCUGCUGAGGGACACGUUCUACAAAACAAUGAAGUUUGCUGCAUCAACUGCAUUUUCCUUUCAUGAAAAAUUUCUCUGUACCAUGCAGUGGUGUUUGACAGCAUGUUACCCACAGUAGAAUUACUUUCAAAAUCUGAGUCAAUCUUCUCAAACCCUGCCGCUGCUUUAUCAACUAAAUUGUUUCAUAUGAACGUACCCUCCACGUGACCUCUUUAAUGCACUUGGCAAACUCCGUUAAUGCUGUUGAAGAAUGUAUGUUCUGUGCUGUGGUAAGAGGUGAUCGUAAUGCCCAAAUCAUCCAAUACACUAUCAUAAAGUGAAGUGAAAGACAUGUACUAGAUGUUUGCUUUGUGAAUGUGAAUGAAAGUCUUAUUUUGGGGGUGUAGUUUCUUAUGUUUUAAUAAAAACAGUAGUCAUUAUUUUAAAAAGCA
Homo sapiens (human) is the source of this 739-nucleotide long non-coding RNA. Lineage: Eukaryota; Metazoa; Chordata; Mammalia; Primates; Hominidae. The record is from Ensembl.